GCCUUCUUAGCUCAGUGGUAGAGCGCGCCACUCGUAGGUCGAGGUUAUGGUGAGGUCGGUUGUUCAAUCCAGCCAGGAGGCA
Epithele typhae is the source of this 82-nucleotide non-coding RNA. NCBI's taxonomy places the organism in Eukaryota, Fungi, Basidiomycota, Agaricomycetes, Polyporales, Epitheliaceae. The record is from the annotation of a RefSeq genome assembly.